Molecule: ribosomal RNA, 253 nt
Filed under: uncultured bacterium
Lineage: Bacteria
Description: partial 16S ribosomal RNA
Rfam family: Bacterial small subunit ribosomal RNA
Source: RNAcentral
UACGUAGGGGGCAAGCGUUGUCCGGAAUCAUUGGGCGUAAAGAGCGUGUAGGCGGCUUUCUAAGUCAGGGGUGAAAUCCUGGAGCUCAACUCCAGAACUGCCUUUGAUACUGGAGAGCUUGAGUCCGGAAGAGGUGAGUGGAACUCCGAGUGUAGAGGUGAAAUUCGUAGAUAUUCGGAAGAACACCAGUGGCGAAGGCGGCUCACUGGUCCGGUACUGACGCUGAGGCGCGACAGCGUGGGGAGCAAACAGG